GGCUCUUUUAAAGUCUUUCCUCAAUUCUCAUUACACGACAAUGAGCAAAGAGGGGCAGCUGUAAUAGCCUAUUUUGCUCGGAGCCCAAUAAAACCCAAAACAACCCAAAAUAAUAGAACGUCCACAGUCCAUUUCUACAAAAAAAAAUCCACUACCCUAAUUAAGCCCAAUCAAACCCAAAUGACCCAAUGAUAGAAACCCUAGCCCAACAAACUCAAAAUUUUCAGAAAACCCUAGUCUCAUGCUUUGCAGCUGCCGCCGCUUCACCUCCCCUCACGCAUGCACGCCUCUGACCACCCGUCGCUCGCAUGCCCACUGUCACCAGCGUUUGUCUAUCACCGAC
RNAcentral lists this long non-coding RNA (343 nucleotides) under Gossypium raimondii (Peruvian cotton). RNAcentral's name for it is "long non-coding RNA (GRAI_LNC000214)". The record is from RNAcentral. Lineage: Eukaryota; Viridiplantae; Streptophyta; Magnoliopsida; Malvales; Malvaceae.